This 71-nucleotide transfer RNA is filed under the name Marmota monax (woodchuck). RNAcentral's name for it is "tRNA.Ala". Lineage: Eukaryota; Metazoa; Chordata; Mammalia; Rodentia; Sciuridae. The record is from RNAcentral.
GUGGUUGCGGCUUAGUGGUAGAGCACUUGCCUAGCAUGAGUGAGGCACUGGGUUCCAUCCUCAGCACUACA